Long non-coding RNA from Vidua chalybeata, 5142 nucleotides. RefSeq lists it as uncharacterized. The transcript is spliced from 2 exons. NCBI's taxonomy places the organism in Eukaryota, Metazoa, Chordata, Aves, Passeriformes, Viduidae. The record is from RefSeq and is a predicted model, not a curated record.
UAUUUUUAUGAGCUGUAGUUUUAUAUUUUAGAGCCUCAGAAUAAUAACCACAAGGAAAUAUGUAAUUUAGGAAAGUUAAUUUUGACCUUCAGAUGAAACCUCUAACAUACGAAAUAUUUGCUGUGACGUUUGGUUUGUUCUUAAUUAUGAAAAAUUGCUUCAUAGAGGGCUUUCUGAAAACUACAGUAUUCUGGGAAGUAGUAUGGUCCAGUGGAUAGGUCACAGUACUGCAUCUCAGGAGAAUGGGGUUUUCUUCCUGGCUUUUCAAAAACCAAAAGUGCAUAAACUUUAGCAAGGCAUUUUUGCCAGAGCUAGUGUCUGCUUCCCUUUAUGAAAUAAGAAGAUCGAUCAUUAGCCUUUUAAAAAUGCAGAUGAUAAAGAAUACAUAAGUAUUACAGGGUUUAUGCACUAAUGGUCAUACAUCUCUAGUUUGUCAGACAUUGCCACCUUUAAUAACAACUUGUAAUAAUGCUGUCAGCAAAGAAUGUUUACUCUGUUUUGCAUAGUUUCUCUCUUCAGAUCAUCAGAGAUAGGAAAUGGCUAAGUCCUUUGAGGGGAUUAUAAAUGUAUUGUGUUCAGAACUCUUCAUUUUCAACUGAAACAUGUAUUCAACUCCAAUGUAAAUUUGUGCAUCAUUUCCUGUGUGAAUUUCUGUUUCCUCUAGCCCAGAUUACCUUAGGGCUUAUAUGCAACUGCAGUGGCAUUACUUUAUUAUAAAAGGAAAUUAAUUUAUGUGCCUGCAUCUAAUGGCAUGCAAUCUUUAGUAAUUACAACCAUCUGAACUUUCUUCUCCAGCUGAAGACAAGUUGCAUUCACGUCAUUUGAGGUUAGAAUUAAGCUUGUAUUUUAAAUCUGUUUUUAAGGGAGGCAUUUUCAGUCUGAGUUCUACAAAGCUGGAGAUCUAAGUAGAGAAAAUGGCAGAUACUGUUUCAAUUUAAACAAGAUGUAUUUUAUAUGGUGAUACAAGCUCCAAACUAGCUUCUCGUUAUUCCAAGUUUGUGUGGAAGUUCUUCCUUUUCCACUUUAAAAAUCUUCUUAGGACGUCUAGGUAAAACUCUGAGAGUAGCAAAAACAGUUUAACACAAAUAUUUAUGUAAAUCAUCAGCUAGGGACAAAUAACACAUAAAUAAUAUUUUACACCCAAUUAAGAAUAAAGAUUGACUGUGUGAGUACUCAAAUAUCUAUACAAUGUUUGACAAAAUAAUGCUGAGAUACCAAUACAUCUUUGGACUGUUUCUGAAUCAUAGCAGCAUAUAAUAAUUUUUAACUUUCUAUUCUUGAUUCAUCUGUUAAACUUCAUUAGAAAAUUUGCCAAGCUGUUAUUUCCUCUAUGGUGAAAACUUGAUGUUUUGAAUUAUUUCCUAUCACUCAUCUUUGGAGACAGGAUUUUGCAUUUCCCAAAUCUACGUUGUCAUCUCUGCUGGAGGUAAGAUACAAUGUUCAUUAAAAGAAAAAAUAAACAUUACAAAGAUAAAAUGUUUGUCCUAACAAAGAAAUAUUUUUCUAAUGACUUCUCCUUUUUUUCCAGGCUCCAACAAAUUUUAAUGCUGCAGAUCUGGGAUGCCACAUCAUUGUCUUCGAUGACUGGAGGUGCUCCAAUCCCAGUUGCUUAAUUGUUCAGGUCAUGCAAGUGCAAGUGCAGAUGAUUUGAAGAGGUCCGUCCAUCUCAGUGUGAAAUUAGCUGUAGUAGUACAUUGCAUAAAUAGAAGAAGUUCUCUAAAGCUUCAACUUCCUUGUUUUAAGUUAAGAGUUUUGCUUGCCCCAGCCUGCAUACUGCUUGGGCUGCAGAAAACAAACUUGAAAAAUUUAACACCUUGCGAGGUUAUGGUAGUUGUAACCAGGCAAUCAUGGUUUAAUAGGAUAAAAACUUUUAUUUUAUUUGAAGUCCUAGAAGGAUCAAAUUAUACAAAUAGAGAUCUUAACUUCAGACUGAACUUGCUCUAUUGAAAGGCAGUUUUUUUAAAGGUAGUUGAACUUUCUCUUUCCUCCCUUAGGUUUCAUUGGUGUGUUUUGGGGUUUUUCAAUUUCAAUAAUUUCAACGUAUUUGUUUACUCCUCAUAAAUAUUAAAGCCUUUCAUUUAUUAUCUCUGAAAUCCUUUGACAAGGUUGUCCAGCUGUGUAGAGCACCAGGUUUUGCUUCUAACAGGAAAAAAGAUGUGUAGAUCUCUUGUUUGUGCUGCUACAGAAAAUGAGCCAAAGAAAUGAACUGUGGUCUCUGUCAAUGAUGUAUGUUCUUUUGAAUGCAAUGCUUCUCCAUUGAAGAUUUUUUUCUUCUAACAUGGUUUGUUAGCUUUCUAAAAGGAGAUCUAACGAUGUGAAUUAAUCUUGCAAAAGGAAGGUAACAUGAAAUGUAGACUUUUCUCCUGUUCUGAACUUAGAGCAAACUUUUGCAGAGGGCUCAGUAUUGUUGCUAAAUAAAUGUAGACCCACUGUACUGUGCAUGGAAAAUAGGGAAAGCAGAGCAAUGUGUAAGUGUUCUUGGCUUUAGGAAAAAGAUACUGUGAUCAAUGAUAUCUUGCAUGUAAGUAAAACAAGAAAGUAACCUAUGCUCUGUAAUGAAAUUCAAAUAAUUUCAAUCCAAAAGAGUAUAAAAUCCCAUUCUUUCCUCCCCACCUUUCUUAGGAUGUGGGAACAAAAUGCUAUGCGUUCAUGUUGAUAUGAGAUGGGAGUUUGAGAUGGUGGCUUCAGGUCUGCAGAAUAGUGUUCAAACACAUGAAGUGUGCAUAGGAGGAUGAUAACACUGCUAAUUCUCCAUUUUUAUAGAUGCUUAUAUCAUUUUGUCCCUUAGAGGUCUGAAUAAGGUAAUUCCUAACAUCUGUUGCUCCAAAAUGAAUUUGUAUUCAGUACAAAUUUAGAAGCCAAAGUCUUGAGCAUCAAUAUUAAACUUCUUGUUUUAUGGUAGAUUUUUUGGCUAAAAAAUAGUGUGUUAGCUAAGGAAUAGAAUAUGCAGCAGCGAAACAUUCAUGAAACAUUCAUGACUUUAUUCCAUUUCUUAGUGUUAGGGCUGAAUGGGCUUUACAUAGACAUAGAUAUCGGUAUUGGGACCAGUCAGUUUAACAUCUUUGUUGGUGACAUGCAUAAUGGGAUCAAGUGUGCCCUCAGCAAGUUUACUGACCAAGCUGUGUGGUGUGGUAACAUGCUGGACAGGAGGGAUACCACCCAGAGGGACCUUGACAGGCUUCAGAGGUGGGUCUUUGCAAACUUUCUGAAGCUCAACAAGGCCAGGUGCAAGGUCCUGCACCCAGGUAAGAGCAAUCCCAAGCACAAGUAUGGGCUGGGCUGAGAAAGGACAAGUAGCCUGACAUGUCUCAGCAGUGUCCACUCACAGCCCAGAAAGCCCAACUGUGUCCUGGACUCUCAUCAAGAUAAGUGUGGCCAACAGGUCGAGGGAGGUGGUUCUUCCUGUCUAUUCCACUCUCAUGAGACCCCAUCUGGAGUACUUAUGUCCAGGUCUGGGGCCCCUAAAACAAGAAAGGCAUGGACGUGUUGGAAUGUGUUCAGAGGAGGGCCACUAAGUUGAUUACAGGGCUGGAGCACCUCUCCCAUGAAGUCAGGUUGAGAGAGCUGGGGUUGUUCAACCUGGAGAGGCUCCAGGGAGACUUUACAGCACCCUCCCACUACCUAAACAGGCCUACAAGAAGAACAGAGAUGGACUUUUUACAAGGGCAUGCUGUGUUAGGACAAGAGGGGAAUGGCUUUAAGCUGAAGGAGGGUAGCUUUGGAUUAGCCAUUACGAAGAAAUUCUUCUUUGUGAGGGUGGUGAGGUAGUGGAAUAGUGGUUAAUGGUUGCCCAGAGAAGUUAUGGAUGCCUCAUCCCCUGGAAGUGUUCAAGGCCAUACUGGAUGGGGCAUUAACCUGGUCUACUCUAAGGGAAGGUGUCCCUGCCCAUGGAAGGGGAGUUAGAAUGAGAUGAUAGUUAAAUGCAUCUUUAAGGUCACUUCAACUGAACCAUUCUAGGAUUCUACAAUUCUAUGAUGAUUUCUCAAAUAUCGGAGCCACCACCACAGCCCCAAAAGCACAACAACGGCUAGAGCCCAGCUCUGCCACUGCAGCAUGGCAGUGAAGAGCGGGUGUCUCUGGGCCAUGUCAUCCUGCUCCAGUUCCUGCAGCAGCCGAGUCAUCUCCUGUCUCAGCAUUUCUUCACGCUGCCGCAUGCGCUCACGUGUGGCCUCAUCCAGCUCCCUACUGACCAUCUGCGGGUGCUGGAUGAUGAUGUUUCGUACCACUUUAAAGAACACUCGGGCAGCCAUGGCCUGGAUGAGGAGAGAAAGAAAGGGUCAAGCGGGUCUGGGAAGGAGCGGGGAGCAGGUAUAGGAGCUGCACAGAGCUGGGAGAAGGGGAAGGGAAGAAGGAGAAGGGGUGAGGCUGCUGGCAGGGGCUUGGGCUCUGGAUGCAGGGUGAGAAUCCACAUUUCUGUCCCAGGUCUCACCCAGCCUCCCGUCACGUGCUUACCUCUGGCCCAGGCCCUGAAAAGCAGCCCCAUUGUGACCCAUCCCCUAGGAUGUCAUAGGGCCAAGGCCCAUCACAGACACUCCCAGCCCUACCCUCGCUCUGCAGCUCACAGCUGUCCCUGGCAGCCAGAGCCUUGACAGCCUCAAAGGACAGACCCACUUGGCAGGACAGAGGCAAUGCCAGCCAGCUCCAAGACAGACCCACCACUGGCAAGGCCAAGCCCAUCAGUGACGGUAGCACCUCAGGAUAACAUAUUUAAGAAGGGGGAAAAAAACUUGUGCAACACCAGCAGCUAGGAAAUAGAAGUGAGAAUAUGGAAGAGAAACAACACUGCAGACCUCCACGUCAGAGAAGAAGGAGGGGGAGUAGGCAGAGGAGAGGCUCCAGACAGCAGGGCAAAGAUUCCCCUGCAGUCCAUAGUGAAGACCAUGGUGAGUCAAGACGUGGCCCGGCAGCCCGUGGAAGUCCAUGGUGGAGCAGACAAACAUCUGCAGCCUGUGGAUAUGCCUGAAGGAGGCUUUGACUCCACGGGAAGUCCAUGCUGGAAGAGGCAACAGGGUACAGAGUCUUCCCCUAAGCAGGAAGGAGUGACAUUCUCCAGAACCCCCAUUCCCCUAUUUGCUCUGCUCCAUGUUUUUGAGAAUCUUGUAUUUUCUACCUUUGAAAACAUAAAACCCAAAUUGAAAUUAA